UGGGGAAUUUUGGACAAUGGGCGCAAGCCUGAUCCAGCCAUGCCGCGUGCGGGAAGAAGGCCUUCGGGUUGUAAACCGCUUUUGUCAGGGAAGAAAUCUUCUGAGUUAAUACCUCGGGAGGAUGACGGUACCUGAAGAAUAAGCACCGGCUAACUACGUGCCAGCAGCCGCGGUAAUACGUAGGGUGCAAGCGUUAAUCGGAAUUACUGGGCGUAAAGCGUGCGCAGGCGGUUUUGUAAGACAGAGGUGAAAUCCCCGGGCUCAACCUGGGAACUGCCUUUGUGACUGCAAGGCUUGAGUGCGGCAGAGGGGGAUGGAAUUCCGCGUGUAGCAGUGAAAUUGCGUAGAUAUGCGGAGGAACACCGAUAGCGAAGGCAAUCCCCUGGGCCUGCACUGACGCUCAUGCACGAAAGCGUGGGGAGCAAACAGGACUAGAUACCCUGGUAGUCCACGCCCUAAACGACGUCAACUGGUUGUUGGGAAGGUUCCUUCUCAGUAACGUAGCUAACGCGUGAAGUUGACCGCCUGGGGAGUACGGCCGCAAGGUUG
RNAcentral lists this ribosomal RNA (549 nucleotides) under uncultured bacterium. RNAcentral's name for it is "partial 16S ribosomal RNA". It matches the Rfam family "Bacterial small subunit ribosomal RNA", at positions 355 to 896 of the family's 1533-position model. The record is from RNAcentral.